Molecule: ribosomal RNA, 2223 nt
Filed under: Salmonella enterica subsp. enterica serovar Enteritidis
Lineage: Bacteria; Pseudomonadati; Pseudomonadota; Gammaproteobacteria; Enterobacterales; Enterobacteriaceae
Description: partial 23S ribosomal RNA
Rfam family: Bacterial large subunit ribosomal RNA
Source: RNAcentral
GACUGCGUACCUUUUGUAUAAUGGGUCAGCGACUUAUAUUCUGUAGCAAGGUUAACCGAAUAGGGGAGCCGGAGGGAAACCGAGUCUUAAUUGGGCGUUAAGUUGCAGGGUAUAGACCCGAAACCCGGUGAUCUAGCCAUGGGCAGGUUGAAGGUUGGGUAACACUAACUGGAGGACCGAACCGACUAAUGUUGAAAAAUUAGCGGAUGACCUGUGGCUGGGGGUGAAAGGCCAAUCAAACCGGGAGAUAGCUGGUUCUCCCCGAAAGCUAUUUAGGUAGCGCCUCGUGAAUUCAUCUCCGGGGGUAGAGCACUGUUUCGGCUAGGGGGCCAUCCCGGCUUACCAACCCGAUGCAAACUGCGAAUACCGGAGAAUGUUAUCACGGGAGACACACGGCGGGUGCUAACGUCCGUCGUGAAGAGGGAAACAACCCAGACCGCCAGCUAAGGUCCCAAAGUCAUGGUUAAGUGGGAAACGAUGUGGGAAGGCCCAGACAGCCAGGAUGUUGGCUUAGAAGCAGCCAUCAUUUAAAGAAAGCGUAAUAGCUCACUGGUCGAGUCGGCCUGCGCGGAAGAUGUAACGGGGCUAAACCAUGCACCGAAGCUGCGGCAGCGACACUGUGUGUUGUUGGGUAGGGGAGCGUUCUGUAAGCCUGUGAAGGUGUGUCGUGAGGCAUGCUGGAGGUAUCAGAAGUGCGAAUGCUGACAUAAGUAACGAUAAAGCGGGUGAAAAGCCCGCUCGCCGGAAGACCAAGGGUUCCUGUCCAACGUUAAUCGGGGCAGGGUGAGUCGACCCCUAAGGCGAGGCCGAAAGGCGUAGUCGAUGGGAAACGGGUUAAUAUUCCCGUACUUGGUGUUACUGCGAAGGGGGGACGGAGAAGGCUAUGUUGGCCGGGCGACGGUUGUCCCGGUUUAAGCGUGUAGGUGUGUGUUCCAGGUAAAUCCGGUUCACUUUAACACUGAGGCGUGACGACGAGGCACUACGGUGCUGAAGCAACAAAUGCCCUGCUUCCAGGAAAAGCCUCUAAGCAUCAGGUAACAUCAAAUCGUACCCCAAACCGACACAGGUGGUCAGGUAGAGAAUACCAAGGCGCUUGAGAGAACUCGGGUGAAGGAACUAGGCAAAAUGGUGCCGUAACUUCGGGAGAAGGCACGCUGACACGUAGGUGAAGUGAUUUACUCAUGGAGCUGAAGUCAGUCGAAGAUACCAGCUGGCUGCAACUGUUUAUUAAAAACACAGCACUGUGCAAACACGAAAGUGGACGUAUACGGUGUGACGCCUGCCCGGUGCCGGAAGGUUAAUUGAUGGGGUCAGCGCAAGCGAAGCUCCUGAUCGAAGCCCCGGUAAACGGCGGCCGUAACUAUAACGGUCCUAAGGUAGCGAAAUUCCUUGUCGGGUAAGUUCCGACCUGCACGAAUGGCGUAAUGAUGGCCAGGCUGUCUCCACCCGAGACUCAGUGAAAUUGAACUCGCUGUGAAGAUGCAGUGUACCCGCGGCAAGACGGAAAGACCCCGUGAACCUUUACUAUAGCUUGACACUGAACAUUGAGCCUUGAUGUGUAGGAUAGGUGGGAGGCUUUGAAGUGUGGACGCCAGUCUGCAUGGAGCCGACCUUGAAAUACCACCCUUUAAUGUUUGAUGUUCUAACGUGGACCCGUUACCCGGGUUGCGGACAGUGUCUGGUGGGUAGUUUGACUGGGGCGGUCUCCUCCUAAAGAGUAACGGAGGAGCACGAAGGUUGGCUAAUCCUGGUCGGACAUCAGGAGGUUAGUGCAAUGGCAUAAGCCAGCUUGACUGCGAGCGUGACGGCGCGAGCAGGUGCGAAAGCAGGUCAUAGUGAUCCGGUGGUUCUGAAUGGAAGGGCCAUCGCUCAACGGAUAAAAGGUACUCCGGGGAUAACAGGCUGAUACCGCCCAAGAGUUCAUAUCGACGGCGGUGUUUGGCACCUCGAUGUCGGCUCAUCACAUCCUGGGGCUGAAGUAGGUCCCAAGGGUAUGGCUGUUCGCCAUUUAAAGUGGUACGCGAGCUGGGUUUAGAACGUCGUGAGACAGUUCGGUCCCUAUCUGCCGUGGGCGCUGGAGAACUGAGGGGGGCUGCUCCUAGUACGAGAGGACCGGAGUGGACGCAUCACUGGUGUUCGGGUUGUCAUGCCAAUGGCACUGCCCGGUAGCUAAAUGCGGAAGAGAUAAGUGCUGAAAGCAUCUAAGCACGAAACUUGCCCCGA